UUUUAUAGAACACAAGACAUUCAUCCUUCAUUUGAAGCUUUUGAAACAAGAGAAGGUUUACCCUAUUUUCAUUGCCCUGAGUGCUCAAGUAAACAAGAUGAUAAUGAAAAGUGGCCUGUUUUAGAAUACACAUAUUUGAUUUCAUUUGCUCUACAUGAUGGGACAGGUCCAUCAUUCAUUGAAGUAUAUUUGUGGCGAGAAAAUGCUGUCAAAUUUUUCAAAAACAUUCAUCCAGAGGAAGCUUUACGAGACAAAACUGUUGCAGAUGGCAUUUUGCAUACAUUGUGGAGCAUUUGUCCAAACUGUAGACCAUUUAAUUUGAAAACUGAUGGUACAAAUAAUUACAAUCCAUAUCCUACAUUAGAUUGUUGUAUAUUGUCAUAUUCUGCUAUUAAUUGUACAAGAUACCAGAUGUUUGAUACGAAAUUGCUGUGAUAUAAAUGUAUAUCAUGUAUAGUUGAUUUUCAAUAAUUCUAUAAAUAUAUUUUAAUAAAAUACCAUUUGAUAUAUAUGUAUGAAAUUUUGUUUUGUGUUGAUCAUUACAAAAUUUUGUAUACAUUUGUUUGCCCUUUUUUAAAGAUCCUUACCAAAUGUGAAUUUGUAAAUCAUGUGGUGUGAUAAAUUAAAGAACUGUGUGUAGGUAUAAAGCAGUUUAUUGCUUCUUUAUGAGAUUAGAAAAAUAGGUAAUAAUUCAUUAACUUUUAACUGCUGUGACAAUUUUUUCGGCAUAAUUACUGUGAGCGGUCUCACAGACCACUUUAAAGAAACACGUAAAAAUACAUACUUUUAUACCUUUUUAAGGAAUGUUAUAGAUACUUUAUGAAUAUUUAUGGAAUUCUAAUUCAUUUAAAUCAAUAUAUUUUAAACAUAAAUCAUUUG
This is a long non-coding RNA of Stegodyphus dumicola, 879 nucleotides long. NCBI's taxonomy places the organism in Eukaryota, Metazoa, Arthropoda, Arachnida, Araneae, Eresidae. The record is from RefSeq and is a predicted model, not a curated record.